Molecule: ribosomal RNA, 476 nt
Filed under: uncultured bacterium
Lineage: Bacteria
Description: bacterial SSU rRNA
Rfam family: Bacterial small subunit ribosomal RNA
Source: RNAcentral
GAACGCUGGCGGCGUGCUUAACACAUGCAAGUCGAACGAGGAUUUAAUGGAAUGCGAUUCGUCAAAUGAAAUUAGAUCCGAGUGGCGGACGGGUGAGUAACGCGUGGAUAACCUGCCUCACACAGGGGGACAACAGUUGGAAACGGCUGCUAAUACCGCAUAACAUGAGCUGACCGCAUGGUUGACUCAUCAAAGAUUUUAUCGGUGUGAGAUGGAUCCGCGUCUGAUUAGCCAGUUGGCGGGGUAAAGGCCCACCAAAGCGACGAUCAGUAGCCGACCUGAGAGGGUGACCGGCCACAUUGGGACUGAGACACGGCCCAAACUCCUACGGGAGGCAGCAGUGGGGAAUAUUGCACAAUGGGCGAAAGCCUGAUGCAGCGACGCCGCGUGAAGGAUGAAGUAUUUCGGUAUGUAAACUUCUAUCAGCAGGGAAGAAAAUGACGGUACCUGACUAAGAAGCCCCGGCUAACUACGUG